RNA transcript from Thrips palmi, 1009 nucleotides. RefSeq lists it as uncharacterized. The transcript has 3 exons. The record is from RefSeq and is a predicted model, not a curated record. NCBI's taxonomy places the organism in Eukaryota, Metazoa, Arthropoda, Insecta, Thysanoptera, Thripidae.
UUAACGUUGUUUUAAUCUUAAUGUUGGGUUUCAGUUGUUAACUGCGAAGCCUCCAUUUUACGAUACCCCCUUGACCGCAGCCCGUGCCAGAGGCUCUGAACCUCACAGGAUGGUGGGGGCAACUUGCAAACGCUAAAAUUGUUUACAACUUACGUUCCACGCAAGAGUUAGCACAAUAAACAGGAUGUUUUGAAAGAAAAAGGGAAUAAAUAUAUUUUAUAUCAUCUCCAAGAUACGUAAAAGCUGCUUUGAAAGGCGUAGAAAUGGUUCGGAGAUCAUACGAAAUGUUGGUCAACAUGGUUUCACAAAGUAUUAAUGUCGGGUACAUUUGGAAGGAAAGGACGACCAACGUCGGGUGGACUACGCAAAAAGUUGAACCGCAGCAGACGGCGUCGUCGUGAACGUGAAACGAAACGACAACUAAAUCCCAAAGAAAAUAACCUAAGUGUCCAGCGAAAUGUCAGACAGAAGAAUUAAUCCCAAACAAAAUGUCCUAAGUGUCCAGUGAAAUGUCAGACAGAAGGUGUUGCGUUGUGUCGUGCCGGUUUUCGACCCAACCUAAAGUUGAAGGCGUUCGCUUGUUUGGUGCCUAAUUGAAAAAGAAAAACUGAUGCAGGGUGCUGAGGAACACCACCAUCAAGUUCAAGAAAAUCACAGACAAGAGCAACAAGUGGAAUGAAUCAGUGUGCAACCCGUUCAAAACUUUCUACUUGACCAGAGCCGGGCGGCAACUGGAGCUGAGGUCAACCACAGAAUAUUACCUUCCACCUCAAAUAAUGACAAUGGUGCAGAGCAAGUCUACCGGCAAGCUCAAGAAAAUCAAGGACAAGGGCAAGCAGUCAUAUUGACGCAUUUCUUCAAAGAAUAAUUACUAUUGUUUGUAUAGUUCUGUAUUGUAAAUUAUCUAUUUACACUUUCAUACAUCCUAAUUGUAAGACAAUUAAAAUUGUCCUGAUUCAUGUUGCAACUCCAUUAUACCUAUACUGAUUAAAAACCUACUUUAUUUGCA